Molecule: ribosomal RNA, 184 nt
Filed under: uncultured bacterium
Lineage: Bacteria
Description: partial 16S ribosomal RNA
Rfam family: Bacterial small subunit ribosomal RNA
Source: RNAcentral
UACAUGAAGCUGGAAUCGCUAGUAAUCGCAGAUCAGAAUGCUGCGGUGAAUACGUUCCCGGGUCUUGUACACACCGCCCGUCACACCAUGGGAGCCGGGAAUGCCCGAAGUCGGUGACCCAACCGUAAGGAGGGAGCCGCCGAAGGCAGGCCUGGUAACUGGGGUGAAGUCGUAACAAGGUAAC